GAGGGGUCAGGAGAUGCCGGCUUGCUGUUUGUCCGUUUAAUGCAAGGAGCCGCUCAUUAUCUGUAGCCCGACUCCUCUGAGGGCUUUCUGGGAGGACGCAAAGGAGGAAGAGGAGGCCAGAGUUUCAUUUGUUUAACCCCAAGACUCUGGAGCUGAGGAGGAAGAAGAGAAAGAAGAAGAGCGGGAUAGAGUCACGAGAAGUUCUGAGGAGGAAGAGGAGCGGCGGCCCUCCUGACUGAUGAAGAUUUGACGUGGAAGAAUUUCUGUGUUUUUUCUGUGCGUCACUGCGCUCAAAAAUGAAGAAGAUGAGUGGAGAUCGUCCUGGCCGAUGAAGAUCUGACAUAAAACCUUUACUCCGGAGUCUCGUGAAGUUCUCCUCGAAGUGUGACAACCUCGCACCCUCCAAAUGUUUCUUAUGGCUCAACAUUGGAAUGAACUACUGUGAUUUUUCUCCGCGUCAUUGCGCACGAAAAGGAGGACGAGGAGCGACGGUCCUCUUGACUGAUGAAGAUCUGACAUGAAGACUUCCCUCCAUAAUCUGGUGAAGUCUUCCAUGAGGUCCGGCCUUCUCUGAAACUCCAUGACCCCCCUUCUAAAUAUUUGUUAUGGUGCAAAAUUGUAAAAAGUUGGUGAUUUUUCAGUGCGUCAUUGCGCACAAAAGCGUAGGAGGGGAUGAGGGAGUACGAGCGCGAGCUAAACCGUGACGCACCUGGCUCACAGAUUCCAGAUCGCCAUCUAAGCGCGUGAAAGACAUCGAGUCCCUUGACACAUUCCCCUCCCCCCCCCCCCCCUCACUCCUCCUCGCCAAACCAUCGGAGAGUCUCCGUCAGCGCCUGCGGACCCCCACCUGCCUCCCAUCGAGGUCACCUUGGCACGAGCGCG
Molecule: long non-coding RNA, 882 nt
Organism: Oryzias latipes (Japanese medaka)
Lineage: Eukaryota; Metazoa; Chordata; Actinopteri; Beloniformes; Adrianichthyidae
Source: RefSeq, a predicted model, not a curated record